This 943-nucleotide long non-coding RNA is filed under the name Hordeum vulgare. RNAcentral's name for it is "long non-coding RNA (HVUL_LNC012642)". The record is from RNAcentral. Lineage: Eukaryota; Viridiplantae; Streptophyta; Magnoliopsida; Poales; Poaceae.
GUGUCGCAAGAAUGGAUAUCGUUACAAGUACAUUUACUGAAAAGAUGAGAUAUAUAAGAAGAGUUGGCUUACACUCGCCACAAGCUACAUCAGAGUCACAUCAGUACAUUACAUAAACAUCAAGAGUAAGAGCAGGGUCCGACUACGGACGAAAACAAACGACAAAAGAAGAACGACGUCCAUCCUUGCUAUCCCAGGCUGCCGGCCUGGAACCCAUCCUAGAUCGAUGAAGAAGAAGAAGAAGAAGCAACUCCAAAUGAACAAUCAACGUGCUCGCGUCAAGAAAUCUUAACGUGUACCUGCAACUGGUGUUGUAGUAAUCUGUGAGCCACAGGGGACUCAGCAAUCUCAUUUCCAAAGGUAUCAAGAGUAGCAAAGCUUAAUGGGUGAGGUAUGGUUAAGUGGUGAGGUUGCAGCAGCGGCUAAGCAGAUAUGAGGUGGCUAACUUACGAGUACCAGAAGUAAGAGGGGGGAAGAACUACGCAUUGCGGACGUGAACUACUGAUGAUCAAAAGAAUGAUCCUGAACACCUACCUACGUCAGACUAACCCCACCGUGUCCUCGAUCGGAGAAGGAGCUCACGAAAGAGACAAUCACGGUUACACACACAGUUGGCAUGUUUUAAUUAAGUUAUCUUCAAGUUAUCUAGAACCAGUGUUAAACAAAGUUUCCACAUUGCCACAUAACCGCAGGCACGGCUUUCCGAAAGAUUUAACCCUGCAGGGGUGCUCCAACUAGUCCAUCACAAAUUACCACAAGCCGCAUAGAAAUCCUCAAUCACGAAGCUCGCGAUCUCGUCGGAAUCCCUAGUGGAAAACCUCAACUCUGAGAUUACCCAAAGCAUCACCGGAAUCCAGAUGCACAAGAUAUCUCGUCAAAGGUAAAACUAAUCCAGCAAGGCCGCCCGACAUGUCGACGUACCCGAUAGGAGCCGCGUAUCUCG